Molecule: ribosomal RNA, 440 nt
Filed under: uncultured bacterium
Lineage: Bacteria
Description: partial 16S ribosomal RNA
Rfam family: Bacterial small subunit ribosomal RNA
Source: RNAcentral
CCUACGGGUGGCAGCAGUGGGGGAUAUUGCUCAAUGGUGGAAACCCUGAUGCAGCGACGCCGCGUGAGUGAAGAAGUAUUUCGGUAUGUAAAGCUCUAUUAGCAGGGAAGAAAAUGACAGUACCUGACCAAGAAGCCCCGGCUAACUACGUACCAGCAGCCGCGGUAACACGUAGGGGGCAAGCGUUAAACGGAUUUACUGGGGUUAAAGGGAGCGUAGAAGGGUUUGUAAGUCUGAAGGUAAAGCCCGGGGCCCAACCCCGGGACUGCGUUGGAAACCGUGUGACUGGAGUACAGGAGGGGCAGGCGGAAUGCGUGGUGGAGCGGUGAAAUGCGUAGAUAUCAGGAGGAACACCGGCGGCGAAGGCGGCCUGCUGGACUGAAACUGACGUUGAGGCACGAAAGCGUGGGGAGCGAACAGGAUUAGAUACCCCUGUAGUC